This is a non-coding RNA of Cinara cedri, 258 nucleotides long. The record is from the annotation of a GenBank genome assembly. NCBI's taxonomy places the organism in Eukaryota, Metazoa, Arthropoda, Insecta, Hemiptera, Aphididae.
AUAUAAUUGUUUUUGGAACUCUCUCCCUCAAGAACAAACCCUGAUUGUAUGAAACUGCAAAACUGCAGUGACGAAUGCUUAGCAUUCAGUGGAGGAGGAUUAAAUAGCCAUAUACAAAGCAAUAAGCACGAAGUGAGUGUGUGACGACGAGAAAAAAGGGUAUGUUGUAUAUAUGUAUACGCACGUUCAUCGAAGAAAACGACAAGAAAACUGUUAAAAGAAAAGUGGCAAUCUAAAGUAUGCAGUAUAUAUGUAUAG